CCGCGUUUGAAGUGGAGGUUGAGGACAUCUCCCGUUUGUGAAAGGGGUUGCUCAGGUGGCUACCUCCCCUGUCUCUGGUUUCUCUGCUGCGUGUGGUGGUCGCAUUGAGUCGUGGUGCAAAAGCGAGGACUAGGCGUCCGUGACCUAAACCCGAUUGACGGUUGCGUUGGGGCGGAGCGCUCGUUCUCUACUUUCUGUGCUUCAGCGACAUCAUCUGCGGUGG
Long non-coding RNA from Engraulis encrasicolus (European anchovy), 223 nucleotides. RefSeq lists it as uncharacterized. Lineage: Eukaryota; Metazoa; Chordata; Actinopteri; Clupeiformes; Engraulidae. The transcript has 3 exons. The record is from RefSeq and is a predicted model, not a curated record.